This is a long non-coding RNA of Phacochoerus africanus (Common warthog), 441 nucleotides long. RefSeq lists it as uncharacterized. Lineage: Eukaryota; Metazoa; Chordata; Mammalia; Artiodactyla; Suidae. The transcript has 3 exons. The record is from RefSeq and is a predicted model, not a curated record.
UUCCUUCAUCUAUGACUCCCUUGGGCCUGACCCGCCGAAAGAAGCCAGCAGGUCAUGAUUUUGGCUUCUGAAAUGCCUCUAAUUACUGCCCAGCUGCAUGUUUGGGACUCCAUCAAACAUAAGCAUCAGAGCCAUUAUCCUGAGAACCUGGACUAGCCCGGGGACAUGAGCCUAUGUUUGAGCCCUGUUUUGUGAUAGCAAAGAUUGAACACCAUCUAACGGACCAUCUAAAGAGCACCUGUCAAAUGAACUGUCGUGGGACUACAUAAACACUCCACAGCUACAAAUGAGUGAGGAAGUUCUCAGUAAACUGAGAGAGAAUGAUUGCCGAUAAAAUGCAAAACUUGUGUAUGUAGUUGGCUGCAUUUUGUGUAAGGGCUGGGGAAUGAGUGUAUUUUCCUCUUUGUUUGUAUUCGUAUAAAGGAACACUGGAAGGAUACU